This 897-nucleotide ribosomal RNA is filed under the name Thyronectria aquifolii. Its description in RNAcentral is "LSU rRNA". It matches the Rfam family "Eukaryotic large subunit ribosomal RNA", at positions 33 to 965 of the family's 3401-position model. The record is from RNAcentral. Lineage: Eukaryota; Fungi; Ascomycota; Sordariomycetes; Hypocreales; Nectriaceae.
CUUAGCAUAUCAAAAGCGGAGGAAAAGAAACCAACAGGGAUUGCCCUAGUAACGGCGAGUGAAGCGGCAACAGCUCAAAUUUGAAAUCUGGCCCCCGCGGUCCGAGUUGUAAUUUGUAGAGGAUGCUUUUGGUGCGGUGCCUUCCGAGUUCCCUGGAACGGGACGCCAUAGAGGGUGAGAGCCCCGUCUGGUUGGAUACCAAUCCUCUGUAAAGCUCCUUCGACGAGUCGAGUAGUUUGGGAAUGCUGCUCUAAAUGGGAGGUAUAUGUCUUCUAAAGCUAAAUACCGGCCAGAGACCGAUAGCGCACAAGUAGAGUGAUCGAAAGAUGAAAAGCACUUUGAAAAGAGGGUUAAAUAGUACGUGAAAUUGUUGAAAGGGAAGCGUUUGUGACCAGACUUGGGCUCGGUCAAUCAUCCAGCGUUCUCGCUGGUGCACUUGGCCGGCCCAGGCCAGCAUCAGUUUGCCGCGGGGGAGAAAGGUUUCGGGAACGUAGCUCCUCGGAGUGUUAUAGCCCGUUGCGUAAUACCCUGCGGCGGACUGAGGUUCGCGCAUCUGCUAGGAUGCUGGCGUAAUGGUCAUCAACGACCCGUCUUGAAACACGGACCAAGGAGUCGUCUUCGUAUGCGAGUGUUCGGGUGUCAAACCCCUACGCGUAAUGAAAGUGAACGGAGGUGGGAGCCUCGGCGCACCAUCGACCGAUCCUGAUGUUUUUGGAUGGAUUUGAGUAAGAGCAUACGGGGCCGGACCCGAAAGAAGGUGAACUAUGCCUGUAUAGGGUGAAGCCAGAGGAAACUCUGGUGGAGGCUCGCAGCGGUUUUGACGUGCAAAUCGAUCGUCAAAUAUGGGCAUGGGGGCGAAAGACUAAUCGAACCUUCUAGUAGCUGGUUUCCGCCGAG